This is a long non-coding RNA of Coturnix japonica (Japanese quail), 670 nucleotides long. RefSeq lists it as uncharacterized. The record is from RefSeq and is a predicted model, not a curated record. Lineage: Eukaryota; Metazoa; Chordata; Aves; Galliformes; Phasianidae.
CUCCAGUCAAUAUGAGCUGUAUUCAUUAAAGAAAUGUUAUGUUGGCUUUCAGAUAUUUUACAGCAAGCCUUUUUCUUCUGGACCAGGACACAAGCUUUAAUUUACGACCAGAGGAGGAAGAAAAGAAAUUUUAUGUUGAUGGAUCUUUAAAGGAAUGUCUGCUUGAACCCCAUUCAAAAGAAAAUUCAUAGACUUAAGUGUGUUAUUGAUCAUUUUUGCAUUGUGGAAAAAGCUUGGAGCCCCAGUUGGACCCUUAGAAACUGUGUGUGAAAGGACUGUAAUACUUCAGAGAACCAUGGCCAGUGAUUGUCUGAAGAAAAUUAAUUUCUGUAGAGUAUUCAAGAUAAUUUUGUCUGUGAAUACCAGUAAUAACACUGUACUUCAUUUCUCCACUUCUAUGCACAGUUUGACCGGGAUUCUUUUUACCCUUAUUUCUACACUUUAAACAACUGUUUAUAUAAGCAGGGAAAUAGAAUUAAUGAAAGCUAAAAAAACAAGCCAAAACAAAACUAAGCACAACUCCCAGCAAUGUCUCUGAAAAGUAACCUGCCAAAAGAGAAGGGAAACUAUUCUCCAGUUCCCUUAUGGUAUGCAUAAUAGAGGUAAAUGACCAGUUUCUUGGUUAUUAACUGUUUUUGUUUUAGAUUUUUCCAAAUGUGUUAUGAAUCUU